GAUGAACGCUGGCGGCGCGCCUAAUACAUGCAAGUCGAGCGAACAGAUAAGGAGCUUGCUCCUUUGACGUUAGCGGCGGACGGGUGAGUUACACGUGGAUAACCUACCUAUAAGACUGGGAUAACUUCGGGAAACCGGAGCUAAUACCGGAUAACAUAUUGAACCGCAUGGUUCAAUAGUGAAAGGCGGCUUUGCUGUCACUUAUAGAUGGAUCCGCGCCGUAUUAGCUAGUUGGUAAGGUAACGGCUUACCAAGGCAACGAUACGUAGCCGACCUGAGAGGGUGAUCGGCCACACUGGAACUGAGACGCGGUCCAGACUCCUACGGGAGGCAGCAGUAGGGAAUCUUCCGCAAUGGGCGAAAGCCUGACGGAGCAACGCCGCGUGAGUGAUGAAGGUCUUCGGAUCGUAAAACUCUGUUAUCAGGGAAGAACAAAUGUGUAAGUAACUGUGCACAGCUUGACGGUACCUGAUCAGAAAGCCACGGCUAACUACGUG
RNAcentral lists this ribosomal RNA (497 nucleotides) under uncultured bacterium. Its description in RNAcentral is "partial 16S ribosomal RNA". It matches the Rfam family "Bacterial small subunit ribosomal RNA", at positions 28 to 507 of the family's 1533-position model. The record is from RNAcentral.